RNAcentral lists this unclassified non-coding RNA (193 nucleotides) under uncultured Hygrocybe. RNAcentral's name for it is "sequence contains ITS1". The record is from RNAcentral. Lineage: Eukaryota; Fungi; Basidiomycota; Agaricomycetes; Agaricales; Hygrophoraceae.
AUGAAUAAACUUUGAGGAUGCUGCUGGCCUUGUCUUUUGGGAUGAGGCAGGUGCACUCCUUGAAUAUUCUUUUGACCACCUUUCACAAACCAUGUGCACCCUCUGUAGGUCUGGCCCUUUUGUUCCAAACCUAUGUUUUAGCCAUCUGCCCCAUGGAAUGUCAUUUGAAUGUUGGAUCUUCUUUGAUAAUACA